UGAUAAUGUAUUCAAUAUUUUUUUUUAUCACUAAAUUGUAUUUAUUUGUUGUUGUAAAUUGUCAUUUUACAUAUAGACAAUUGUUGUAAGAAACGUGGUCGGUCAAGGGGAUUGGCUACAAUUUCUUUGCCAUGUGGCUAAAAGGUAAAAGUUAGGAUCAAUCGUUAUCACGAAGGGGUUGGUAAGAAGGCAACACAAUUACUUGUGUGGAUGAGCACACACGUAAGGAUACCUACCACAAUUAUGCCUCUCAAUUAUCCGGAAUGGAGGAAAGUUCCUCAACACUAUAAAGAAGCAAUUUGGGAAAAGGUUAUGGUAUGGUGACACCAAAAUUAACAUUUUCAAUUUAUAAUUUUUUUAAAGUGUAUUUAUUUUAUUCUUUUAAUUAAUAUAAUAUAUUGUUCUGUAGGACUAUUAUGAAAUUGAAACUAAAGAAAAAAAAUGGGUUUUUAGAAAAAUGGGUAUCUAGUGAAAGGACUUCAGGCUUGAAUUAAAAGAAAUAUAUAAUAAAUCAACAACGAUGAGUGUUUUGCAAAAUGUGAUGUUCAUAUUCCAUUGGAUCAGUGGAAAUACCUUAUAGCUAUGUGGGGUGAUGUCAAGUAUAAGGUAACGAUGCCUAUGCAAACCUGUUACUUGUUUUUGGUAUUUGUUUGCCAAACAUUAUUUGAUAUGUGCUUUCACUACAGUAGGAAAUUUGUUCGCAGAAUAAAGAGAAUAGAAAAAAACAGAAAAUGAGUCACACUGCGGGCCAACAGAGUUUUUCCCAAGUUCAUGAUAAAAAGCUUCAGGAGUCCGGUGAGGAAUCGUUAAAGGUUGAUUUUUUCAGGAUAACACAUGUGAAAAAGAACUUAGAACCGAUUGAUGAAGAAUCAAGCAAAAAGCUGAAAGAGAUGGAAGAUAAGUUAGCAGUGAUACCAGUAGAAUUACAAAAAAACAAAGAGACUCAUGAAUCUAUGGACAGAAUCAUUUGGUGAGGAGUCCCAUGACUGAGUGCGCCUAGUUGGAGUUGGGGUAAGCCUAAAAGACCUUGAAUUGUCAAAAAGUAAUGCUACACUCACCCGGAAGAACAAGGAGUUGCAAAAUAAAGUGGAGAUGUUAGAGGAAAAGAUGGAAUUAGUAAAUGGAAAGCUUGAAGAUGAAAAGAAGAAGAAUGAAGAUUUAAUUAGCAGUAUGCAAUCACAAAUUGAAAAACUUACCCAACUCUUCAUGAAUAGAAGCUCACAGGAUUCAGUUAAACUAGGUUGACAUAAUUGGGGUGAGUUACUCUUCUUCGAAGGAUUUAUGACGUAGAAAAUGAAGGCAUAAUGCUAGCAAGAGAAAAGAAUGAAUCCAAGACCUUUACAAAUCAAAUUUGAUUUAUAUUUCACAUGAUAGAAAAAAUGUUAUCUUGCUACUUUGAGUGCAAUGGUUUCACUAUUUUUGUAAUGUUUUCAAUUUCAUUUGCUUAGGCUUAGAGAACUGAGUUUGUUGAACAAUAUUUUGAAAUGAUCCACAAUCAUUUUCUCUUUUGUCAA
Macadamia integrifolia is the source of this 1514-nucleotide RNA transcript. RefSeq lists it as uncharacterized. The record is from RefSeq and is a predicted model, not a curated record. The transcript is spliced from 4 exons. NCBI's taxonomy places the organism in Eukaryota, Viridiplantae, Streptophyta, Magnoliopsida, Proteales, Proteaceae.